AGUGCACUCCCUGCUCCCACCCCGCAGCUCACCUGCUCCGCCCUCCUCCCCGGGACGCCCAGCCCCGCAGCCCUCAUCCCUCUCUUCCUCCCAGCCAGGUCCUGACUGCAGCCUCUGUCCACCACCUCCCUGAGGAGCCCUUUAAAAGGACCAGCGCCUGCGGAGGGGAGACCCUGAGAACUUAAGCCUCAGUGUUGCACAAGUUUAAAAAGGGAAGUGCUUGACUUUGGAUUGAGAGUUGACUCUUCACUGUGCGAAGUCCUGAAUUAUUUCACAGGGAUAGUUGGAAAAAAGCAAAGCUUCCUAAGGCUGGCAUUCACUUCUUGAGUCUAGAGGCACAUUAUCUUGUCUGGCCCCGUGGACAGCUCUUUUUCUGCAGGGUGGAGCAGGGGGUGGUUCAAACACCACAGAAGCAAAACAGCCACAAGAAAACAAAUGCUUGAAGUGAUUUCUGCUCCCACCCCACUGUCUCAGUCUGGAGAUCCAAACUCACCUGGGUAGCAGGAAAGCUCCUUUUCUGCCCAGCUCCCAGGUUCUUGCUUCAGCUGCAGGUCUGACAUUUGCCUCUGCAGGCACCGGCUUCACUGCUGUCACUCAGACACAGCUGUAAGCUACUGGUCGAUGAUGCUCGUUAAAAAGCUAUGAUAUAUACCUAUUGCAUCACUUGCCAGCACAAUCCCUGAGUGACCACUGAGUCCAGAGGGGCAUUUAUCCCAUGACAGUGCAUCAUCAGAGGUGCCCUGCCAUCAUCCCUGCAUGUAGGACACACAGGGCUCACGCAGCCCCAGAACUCCCAGGGCCUUGUGCUCAUCUCCGUUACACAUGCCCAAACAUCCGUCUGGGUCGCAGCCUCAAGGAUCAGUUGAGAUUCAAGGCAGCAACAUGCCUCAGUACGACAAACUCAGACCUACUAGGGUUCCAUGAAGCUUCGUCCUCUUUCUCUAGGGAGGAACACCAAGGCUGAGUAACUCCAGCUGCGGACAGGACAUUGAGAGGGCUGCCUCUUUCUACUGCUUGUAGUGAAGAGCCCAGCAAAGAACUUAGCAACACGAUCGGCUUCAGACACGUGGAUAUUCAGCGAUCCUGGAACACAUCUCGGGUGUCCCUUCUCACCUCUGGUGAUGGUUUUGCCUCCCAAAGUAUCCUCUCCUUCUCCUUGGCUCUAAUCCUACCCAACUUCCCAGAACCAGUGUACACCCUGCCCCGGAAUGCCUUUCUGAUCACCUCAUCUUGUAGAGUUCCCUCCUUCUUCUGCAUGUAUUUGUCUCAUAAUCAUUCCUGUGUCUUUUACUGUCCCUUGAUGUAUUGUUUAGAUUCAUAACAUUAUGAUUAUGUAACUUCCCUCCUGUUGCAUGGUUGCUUUUUUGCAGGGACUGUGCCCACAUUGGUGUUCUCCAUAGAAUGCUUCUCAGAUGUAGUGUGUAGUACAAAUGCCCAAGAUCUUGUUAAAAUGCAGUCUGACUCAGUGGUCUGCCUGGGAGCAGGCCCUGAGAUCCUGCAUUUCUAAUAAACUGUCAGGUAAUGUCAAAGCUGGUCUGUCUGGGGACCACACUUUGAGUACCAAGGGACUAUCAUAUCUAGGGCAAUGUCACGUGUGUGGUAGAUUUUCAACAAAUAGCUAUUCAUCAUGGGCUCUUUUACCUAUUCUCCACCAUGGCCUGCGGAGCUGAGUCCUCAGUCCCCUUUGAGGAACAAAUACAUAGAGGCCCUGGAAACGGUGUGCUGGCCUUUUGGUCAUCCCAGAGCCAGGAUGGGCUCCACGCUCCUCCCACCUGCUCUGGCCUGCAGCAGCAUUCACACGUUCCUUCUAUGAGAAAAGCGACAUGCAUCAGGCACUAUGGGAUGGCGCUGACAAAAAAGACAAAAUGUCAGGUCUCAUAGUCUCGAAAAUUUCCUGCCCAUUAAAUAAGCAUUCCUCGGGUUGUUUUCUCCAUCACUGCUAAAUAUUGAAGUCAUAGGUCUCAGAGUGUGUAGGCUCAAAAUAUGCUUCAUUCCAGAAGCCACUGUUUUGUUGACUUUACAAACCACAUAAAAUAGUUUCAAUACUGAAAACAUCAAGCUUACACAGAUAAAUGAUAUUUUGCUAUGGGACUGAGUAUUUUUAAUAAGAUCCUAUUUCCUGGGGAAAGAAGAAAAAUCAGCAAUGUAAGCAAUAGCAGCAAGGAAGACCAUUAUGGUUCCUAAGUGAUCCAACUACUGAUGAUAAAUGACAUAGCAACAUGUGCAUUUAGCUUUUUUUUUUUUUUUUAAACUAUGUUCCAUGCUAGUAAAGAAUAAACUAGCAAAGAACAAUAUCCUUAAAACAGCUAGACAUAUUUUCAAUACAUCUAACACGUAGCCUUCAAAGUAACCAAUGUGAAUUUGAACUGAAUGCUCCUUUUUUGUUGUAGCUGAUGUGUCUCUUAAGAUCUCAAUGAGUAUAGGUUAAUAGAUAAAUAGAAUAAAUUGUAAACUGCUUUGCUGGUGUCUAGCACAUAGCAGGUAUUUGACAAAGGAAUGUUGUUCAACAAAAAAUGAAUGAAUGGAGAGAGGAAGACAGGGGUAGGCACCCUUAUAGCUUUGUGAAUGGGUCCACAGUGUGGUAUUUCAUACUUGAACCAGAAGUCGUAUGAAAAUGAGACACGAACAUUUACAGGGUCAUAGUCCUAUUAUUAAAUAAUGGGUGCCACACUGUACAGCUUGUCCUUAACUGACUAAAGAUAAACUCUGCAUAUAGGCAUUGAUGACACAUGGAUAUAGAGCUACCAAUGACUCAGUUGACCAGGCCAGUGACAUAGUAUUGUUUAAUGAAAAAAUAUCUACCCUAUUACGUAUUUAUGCAUAUACACUCACUGAAGGUCUAUAUUAUGUCAAGUCCUGAGUACCUUAGGUUUCCACAUAAGAAUUCAUUUGCUUUAAAAAAUUGGAAUGCAUCACUCUGAAAUAUUUACAUCUGUAAAAAACAACCAUAUGCAUUUUCUUAAAUGGUUUCUUUCAAAAUCCAGAAGAAAUCAGAAAAAAACUUAUAAAGAUGAUUAUAUAAAAGAAAGAACUUUUGGCUGGGCACG
Non-coding RNA from Macaca mulatta (Rhesus monkey), 3047 nucleotides. NCBI's taxonomy places the organism in Eukaryota, Metazoa, Chordata, Mammalia, Primates, Cercopithecidae. The record is from RefSeq and is a predicted model, not a curated record.